UACGUAGGGUGCGAGCGUUGUCCGGAAUUAUUGGGCGUAAAGAGCGCGUAGGCGGCCCGGUAAGUCCGCUGUGAAAGUCGGGGGCUCAACCCUCGAAUGCCGGUGGAUACUGUCGGGCUAGAGUGCGGAAGAGGCGAGUGGAAUUCCUGGUGUAGCGGUGAAAUGCGCAGAUAUCAGGAGGAACACCAAUUGCGAAGGCAGCUCGCUGGGACGUAACUGACGCUGAGACGCGAAAGCGUGGGGAGCAAACAGG
RNAcentral lists this ribosomal RNA (253 nucleotides) under uncultured bacterium. Its description in RNAcentral is "partial 16S ribosomal RNA". It matches the Rfam family "Bacterial small subunit ribosomal RNA", at positions 524 to 776 of the family's 1533-position model. The record is from RNAcentral.